UUGCCUACGGGAGGCAGCAGUGAGGAAUAUUGGUCAAUGGGCGAGAGCCUGAACCAGCCAAGUCGCGUGAAGGAUGACGGCCCUACGGGUUGUAAACUUCUUUUGUCAGGGAGCAAUUGGGUCCACGUGUGGGCUUAGCGAGAGUACCUGAAGAAAAAGCAUCGGCUAACUCCGUGCCAGCAGCCGCGGUAAUACGGAGGAUGCGAGCGUUAUCCGGAUUUAUUGGGUUUAAAGGGAGCGUAGGCGGACCGUUAAGUCAGCGGUAAAAUUGCGGGGCUCAACCCCGUCGAGCCGUUGAAACUGGG
Molecule: ribosomal RNA, 305 nt
Filed under: uncultured bacterium
Lineage: Bacteria
Description: bacterial SSU rRNA
Rfam family: Bacterial small subunit ribosomal RNA
Source: RNAcentral